This 158-nucleotide small nuclear RNA is filed under the name Neogale vison (American mink). RNAcentral describes it as "Neovison vison (American mink) U4 spliceosomal RNA (ENSNVIG00000003203.1)". The stretch from base 1 to 105 matches the Rfam family "U4 spliceosomal RNA". Rfam says of the family: U4 small nuclear RNA (U4 snRNA) is a component of the major U2-dependent spliceosome. The structure of U4 snRNA from yeast and human has been reported. The record is from RNAcentral. Lineage: Eukaryota; Metazoa; Chordata; Mammalia; Carnivora; Mustelidae.
CGCUUUGAGCAGUGGCAGUAUCAUAGCCAAUGGGGUUUAUCCAAGGCGUGGUUAUUGCUAAUUGAAAACUUUUUCCAAAAUACAAUCCUUAGUAAUAAGAAUUUGACCUACUGCAUCCCUCCAUCUGCCACCCGAACACAUAAUGACGGACCAUAAGG